RNAcentral lists this ribosomal RNA (496 nucleotides) under uncultured bacterium. RNAcentral describes it as "partial 16S ribosomal RNA". It matches the Rfam family "Bacterial small subunit ribosomal RNA", at positions 28 to 506 of the family's 1533-position model. The record is from RNAcentral.
GAUGAACGCUGGCGGCGUGCCUAAUACAUGCAAGUCGAGCGAACAGAUGAGGAGCUUGCUCCUCUGACGUUAGCGGCGGACGGGUGAGUAACACGUGGAUAACCUACCUAUAAGACUUGGAUAACUUCGGGAAACCGGUGCUACUACCGGAUAAUAUAUUGAACCGCAUGGUUCAAUAGUUAAAGACGGUUUUGCUGUCUCUUAUAGAUGGAUCCGCGCCGCAUUAGCUAGUUGGUAAGGUAACGGCUUACCAAGGCAACGAUGCGUAGCUGACCUGAGAGGGGGAUCGGCCACACUGGAACUGAGACACGGUCCAGACUCCUACGGGAGGCAGCAGUAGGGAAUCUUCCGCAAUGGGCGAAAGCUGGACGGAGCAACGCCGCGUGAGGGAUGAAGGUCUUCGGAUCGUAAAACUCUGUUAUGAGGGAAGAACAAAUGUGUAAGUAACUAUGCAGGUCUUGACGGUACCUAAGCAGAAAGCCACGGCAAACUACGU